AUAUGAAAUAAAGCUGCCAAGGCAGCUUUGUGAAAUAUCGUGCUGCGCACGAUGUGAAAUAUUCGACUGACGUCGAAUGUGAUAAUUACU
RNAcentral lists this unclassified non-coding RNA (90 nucleotides) under Clostridiales bacterium. RNAcentral describes it as "Gut-1 RNA". Lineage: Bacteria; Bacillati; Bacillota; Clostridia; Eubacteriales. The record is from RNAcentral.